GGCGGAGGAGAGCCAACAGUGCGCUCGCCCAGCGGAGGUUUCACAUGGAAGAGAAGAAGCAAGAGAAUGAACCCCGGAUAGUGAGCCGGAUAUUUCAGUGUUGUGCCUGGAAUGGAGGUGUCUUCUGGCUUAGUCUCUUCUUGUUCUACCGAGUGUUCAUCCCCGUCCUUCAGUCGGUCACGGCGCAGAUCAUCGGUGGGUGCCUUUCCCCUUGGGGUGUUCCAGGGUGCUCAGCAGUCCAUGGGAUGAGUUUGGAGUCUUUGUCCACUGAACUGAUCCUCACACCUCUGUCCCCUUGUGUUGUUUUCCACUUCUUCCCAGUACCAACCAAUCCCAUCAUUAAUCAUCCAGUAGGAAACCAGGGGUGGAUCACCCUGCUGACAGCCUGUGCACAUCAGGGAUCCAGCCCAGGGGUCUUGCCAUUUCAAACACAUUUGUCUGUGUGUUUUUGCAUUUAAGUAAAA
This is a non-coding RNA of Cyanistes caeruleus (blue tit), 464 nucleotides long. Lineage: Eukaryota; Metazoa; Chordata; Aves; Passeriformes; Paridae. The record is from RefSeq and is a predicted model, not a curated record.